CAACGCGACCCCAGGUCAGGCGGGGCUACCCGCUGAGUUUA
This 41-nucleotide ribosomal RNA is filed under the name Ficus religiosa (bo tree). Its description in RNAcentral is "partial 28S ribosomal RNA". Lineage: Eukaryota; Viridiplantae; Streptophyta; Magnoliopsida; Rosales; Moraceae. The record is from RNAcentral.